This 976-nucleotide long non-coding RNA is filed under the name Heterocephalus glaber (naked mole-rat). Its description in RNAcentral is "lncRNA (ENSHGLG00100047240.1)". The record is from RNAcentral. Lineage: Eukaryota; Metazoa; Chordata; Mammalia; Rodentia; Bathyergidae.
CAUCCUUGCCCGGGCUGGGACCUUGGGGCCUGCUUGCUGUUUCCUCUCUGGCCUGCAGUUUACAGAGUGUCUUUGGCCAGCACAGUACUGGCUGCCGAACAGGAAUGGCAGCAAAAAAGCCCCAAACAAACAAAACUCCACAGAACUGCCCAGCCCUGCCUCCUUCUCCCUCUCCUUAUUUGCCUUUUGUCCCUUUCCCUGUCCUAGCUCCACCCAUGACUCUCUCCACCUCUUGGGGGUCGUCUGAUCCAGGCCACUGACUCUGACCAGGGCUCCUUUCCCCUAGCCAGGAGGAUCCCUACCCUCACUGAGCACUGGAUGAGACCUUCUCCCGGCCUCGGGACCUACUGUGUGCAGGCAGCUGUGCUUCUCUCUCCCAUCCUUCCGAGUCCUUCCUCCAGCACCUGCUGGGGACCCUCUGAUGCAAUGGGAAUGGGGAGUCUCCAGGGCAGUGGGUCUGUGAAAGGACAGCCUGAGCCCGCCGCUGCUCACUGCAUCUCGGAGAAGGAGGCAAAAGUGCUACCUUGUGCCCCUGUAACCCAGGACAGUGAGAUUUGCACCCAGAUCUUCUGCCGUAGAAUCGAGUGUCCCGCCCAGGGUGACAGGAAAUGAAUACACUCAGUCCGCAAGUGGCUGAUGGAGGAAGUGACCAGAGGACUCAGCCUCCACUCUGCUCCCUGUGGCCUCCCUGUCUGAUGGUGAGCUCUAUCCACCCUCUGUCUGCCUCUCCUCUUCCCCAGCACUGCAGCUUGAGCCACACUGCCCUGCACAUGAGGGUGGGAGAGGGAUUCCCAGCUGGGACGGUCUGGCUUCCAUUGCUCCCCCUCUCCUGAUCCCCAGGCCACCUUCCUCUUGCUCUCUUCUGGGAAGGUCAGGGGUUCUGAGAAGCAUGACUAUUGCACCCCAUUCUGUGAGGGUCUGGGUUAGGCAGGGUCGGAACUGGCCUCGGGGUUGGGAGGGCAGAGAGAGUGUAGUG